UGGCGGACGGGUGAGUAACGCGUGGAAAACCUGCCGUAUACUGGGGGAUAACACUUAGAAAUAGGUGCUAAUACCGCAUAAGCGCACAGCUUCGCAUGAAGCGGUGUGAAAAACUCUGGUGGUAUACGAUGGUUCCGCGUCUGAUUAGCUGGUUGGCGGGGUAACGGCCCACCAAGGCGACGAUCAGUAGCCGGACUGAGAGGUUGGCCGGCCACAUUGGGACUGAGACACGGCCCAGACUCCUACGGGAGGCAGCAG
RNAcentral lists this ribosomal RNA (258 nucleotides) under uncultured bacterium. RNAcentral's name for it is "partial 16S ribosomal RNA". It matches the Rfam family "Bacterial small subunit ribosomal RNA", at positions 96 to 354 of the family's 1533-position model. The record is from RNAcentral.